Molecule: ribosomal RNA, 208 nt
Filed under: uncultured Pseudomonadota bacterium
Lineage: Bacteria; Pseudomonadati; Pseudomonadota
Description: uncultured proteobacterium partial 16S ribosomal RNA
Rfam family: Bacterial small subunit ribosomal RNA
Source: RNAcentral
CGUGUAGGCGGCGUGAUAAGUCAGAUGUGAAAUCCCUGGGCUCAACCCAGGAAGUGCAUUUGAAACUGUCUUGCUUGAGUACGGGAGAGGGAAGAGGAAUUCCUGGUGUAGAGGUGAAAUUCGUAGAUAUCAGGAGGAACACCGGUGGCGAAGGCGACUUCCUGGCCCGAUACUGACGCUGAGACGCGAGAGCGUGGGGAGCAAACAG